RNAcentral lists this ribosomal RNA (270 nucleotides) under uncultured archaeon. RNAcentral describes it as "partial 16S ribosomal RNA". It matches the Rfam family "Archaeal small subunit ribosomal RNA", at positions 477 to 747 of the family's 1478-position model. The record is from RNAcentral.
CAGCACCUCAAGUGGUCAGGAUGAUUAUUGGGCCUAAAGCAUCCGUAGCCGGCUCUGUAAGUUUUCGGUUAAAUCUGUACGCUCAACGUACAGGCUGCCGGGAAUACUGCAGAGCUAGGGAGUGGGAGAGGUAGACGGUACUCGGUAGGAAGGGGUAAAAUCCUUUGAUCUAUUGAUGACCACCUGUGGCGAAGGCGGUCUACCAGAACACGUCCGACGGUGAGGGAUGAAAGCUGGGGGAGCAAACCGAAUUAGAUACCCGCGUAGUCC